RNAcentral lists this ribosomal RNA (420 nucleotides) under uncultured eukaryote. RNAcentral's name for it is "bacterial SSU rRNA". It matches the Rfam family "Eukaryotic small subunit ribosomal RNA", at positions 592 to 1017 of the family's 1831-position model. The record is from RNAcentral.
CAAUAGCGUAUAUUAAAGUUGUUGCAGUUAAAAGCUCGUAGUCGGAUUUUGGCAUCACGCCGUACUGUCUGCCGAUUGGUAAGUACGGUUUGGCGGGUGCUCUCCUUCCGGAGGCUCGUUCCCUUCUUCAUUGAAGGGUUCGAUGGUUCCGGGUCUUUUACUUUGAAAAAUUAGAGUGUUCAAAGCAGGCCUAUGCUCUGAAUAGGUUAGCAUGGAAUAAUAGAAUAGGACUUUGGUUCUAUUUUGUUGGUCUCGGGACGGGAGUAAUGAUUAAGAGGAACAGUUGGGGGCAUUGCGUAUUUCAUUGUCAGAGGUGAAAUUCUUGGAUUUAUGAAAGACGAACUUCUGCGAAAGCAUUUGCCAAGGAUGUUUUCAUUAAUCAAGAACGAAAGUUGGGGGCUCGAAGAUGAUUAGAUACCA